This 243-nucleotide ribosomal RNA is filed under the name Mycoplasma zalophi. RNAcentral describes it as "partial 23S ribosomal RNA". It matches the Rfam family "Bacterial large subunit ribosomal RNA", at positions 1 to 240 of the family's 2925-position model. The record is from RNAcentral. Lineage: Bacteria; Bacillati; Mycoplasmatota; Mollicutes; Mycoplasmatales; Mycoplasmataceae.
UAUUAAAUAAGUAAGAGUUUUUGGUGGAUGCCUUGGGUCUGGAAGUCGAUGAAGGACGCGAUUACCUGCGAUAAGCCUCGUGGAGCUGGAAAUAAGCUAUGAAACGGGGAUUUCCGAAUGGGGAAACCUAACUAGAUUAAUCUCUAGUUGCAUUCUAAUGAAUACAUAGUUAGAAUUGUGAGACACGUUGAGAACUGAAACAUCUUAGUACCAACAGGAAAAGAAAAUAAAUAAUGAUUCCCU